UGGGGAAUAUUGGACAAUGGGCGAAAGCCUGAUCCAGCCAUGCCGCGUGAGUGAUGAAGGCCUUAGGGUUGUAAAGCUCUUUCGGUGGUGACGAUAAUGACGGUAACCACAUAAGAAGCCCCGGCUAACUUCGUGCCAGCAGCCGCGGUAAUACGAAGGGGGCUAGCGUUGUUCGGAAUAACUGGGCAUAAAGCGCACGUAGGCGGAUUUGCAAGUCAGGGGUGAAAUCCCGGGGCUCAACCUCGGAACUGCCUUUGAAACUGCGAAUCUGGAAUCUCAGAGGGGAUAGCGGAAUUCCAAAUGUAGGGGUGAAAUCCGUAGAUAUUUGGAGGAACACCGGUGGCGAAGGCGGCUAUCUGGAUGAGUAUUGACGCUGAGGUGCGAAAGCGUGGGGAUCAAA
RNAcentral lists this ribosomal RNA (400 nucleotides) under uncultured bacterium. RNAcentral describes it as "bacterial SSU rRNA". It matches the Rfam family "Bacterial small subunit ribosomal RNA", at positions 355 to 772 of the family's 1533-position model. The record is from RNAcentral.